This 164-nucleotide ribosomal RNA is filed under the name Cenchrus advena x Cenchrus setaceus. RNAcentral's name for it is "5.8S ribosomal RNA". It matches the Rfam family "5.8S ribosomal RNA". Rfam says of the family: 5.8S ribosomal RNA (5.8S rRNA) is a component of the large subunit of the eukaryotic ribosome. It is transcribed by RNA polymerase I as part of the 45S precursor that also contains 18S and 28S rRNA. Functionally, it is thought that 5.8S rRNA may be involved in ribosome translocation. RNAcentral also lists the same sequence under 1 other name. The record is from RNAcentral. Lineage: Eukaryota; Viridiplantae; Streptophyta; Magnoliopsida; Poales; Poaceae.
CACAUGACUCUCGGCAACGGAUAUCUCGGCUCUCGCAUCGAUGAAGAACGUAGCAAAAUGCGAUACCUGGUGUGAAUUGCAGAAUCCCGUGAACCAUCGAGUUUUUGAACGCAAGUUGCGCUCGAGGCCUUCUGGCUGAGGGCACGUCUGCCUGGGCGUCACGC